AUGGGCACCAGGCUCCUCUGCUGGGCAGCCCUGUGCCUCCUGGGGGCAGAUCACACAGGUGCUGGAGUCUCCCAGACCCCCAGUAACAAGGUCACAGAGAAGGGAAAAGAUGUAGAGCUCAGGUGUGAUCCAAUUUCAGGUCAUACUGCCCUUUACUGGUACCGACAAAGCCUGGGGCAGGGCCCAGAGUUUCUAAUUUACUUCCAAGGCACGGGUGCGGCAGAUGACUCAGGGCUGCCCAAAGAUCGGUUCUUUGCAGUCAGGCCUGAGGGAUCCGUCUCUACUCUGAAGAUCCAGCGCACAGAGCAGGGGGACUCAGCCGCGUAUCUCCGUGCCAGCAGCUUAAC
Homo sapiens (human) is the source of this 347-nucleotide non-coding RNA. The record is from the annotation of a RefSeq genome assembly. NCBI's taxonomy places the organism in Eukaryota, Metazoa, Chordata, Mammalia, Primates, Hominidae.